Molecule: ribosomal RNA, 826 nt
Filed under: Discosia artocreas
Lineage: Eukaryota; Fungi; Ascomycota; Sordariomycetes; Amphisphaeriales; Sporocadaceae
Also listed under: 1 other name
Description: partial 28S ribosomal RNA
Rfam family: Eukaryotic large subunit ribosomal RNA
Source: RNAcentral
CAGGGAUUGCCCUAGUAACGGCGAGUGAAGCGGCAACAGCUCAAAUUUGAAAUCUGGCCCUUGGGUCCGAAUUGUAAUUUGUAGAGGAUGUUUUUGGUGCGGUAUCUUCCGAGUUCCUUGGAACAGGACGCCUUAGAGGGUGAGAGCCCCGUACGGUUGAAUGCCUAGCCUUUGUAAAACUCCUUCGACGAGUCGAGUAGUUUGGGAAUGCUGCUCUAAAUGGGAGGUAAAUUUCUUCUAAAGCUAAAUACUGGCCAGAGACCGAUAGCGCACAAGUAGAGUGAUCGAAAGAUGAAAAGCACUUUGAAAAGAGGGUUAAAUAGCACGUGAAAUUGUUGAAAGGGAAGGAUUUAUGACCAGACUUUUUCUAAGCGGAUCAUCCGGUGUUCUCACCGGUGCACUUCGUUUAGUUUAGGCCAGCAUCGAUUUUCGGUGGGGGAUAAAAGCUUUAGGAAUGUGGCUCCUCCGGGAGUGUUAUAGCCUAUUGUAUAAUACCCUACUGGGGAUCGAGGUACGCGCUUCUGCAAGGAUGCUGGCGUAAUGGUUAUCAAUCACCCGUCUUGAAACACGGACCAAGGAGUCGAACAUUUGUGCAAGUGUUUGGGUGUUAAACCCUCACGCGUAAUGAAAGUGAACGGAGGUGAGAGCCCUUACGGGUGCAUCAUCGACCGAUCCUGAUGUUUUCGGAUGGAUUUGAGUAAGAGCAUAACUGUUCGGACCCGAAAGAUGGUGAACUAUGCGUGGAUAGGGUGAAGCCAGAGGAAACUCUGGUGGAGGCUCGCAGCGGUUCUGACGUGCAAAUCGAUCGUCAAAUCUGCGCAUGGGG